ACUGUGUGUCGUCAUGUGAACUGCAGGACACAUGAGCAUCGACAUUUUGAACGCAAAUGGCGG
This 63-nucleotide ribosomal RNA is filed under the name Megalurothrips usitatus (bean blossom thrips). RNAcentral's name for it is "partial 5.8S ribosomal RNA". Lineage: Eukaryota; Metazoa; Arthropoda; Insecta; Thysanoptera; Thripidae. The record is from RNAcentral.